CUGGUUUUGCUGAGUCACUGAGACCUUUUUGCUGGCCAGUGUUUCUGAAAAGGGAAGCUGUUUCAAGUUAUAUACCAUCCCUGUUGUUUCAGCACUUUGGUGGUGAGCUGGUCCCCUUGUCCUUCCCAUCCUGCAAAGUCCUGGGGUCCCUCUCCCAUUUUCAGGUCAGUGGGCAUGUUUGGAAAGCUGUAGACACUCUCCACAAAUGGCGGCCUUGGGAACUGGGACCUGCCCGCUCCAACAGUGACUGUCAUCAUGGGUCCUAUGGUCCCAGAACACUCAUUUCCCAGAAGUCAUGGUCCCCGUAUGGAAGGAAAAAGAGCUUGCCGGGAAAGUGAAGAACCAGGAAGAAGUGUAGCCCUGAGAUCUUCCAUGUAAGCCCACUCUUCUCACUCUGAAGGGGUGCUGUUUCGGGGCUUUGCAGCAAGCUGGCCCCUCAGUUAUAUUUCCCAGGUAAAUUUUGUUCCUUUAACAUCUUAGAAACAAUACUAAUAAAAAGCUGUCUGGUGGGUGCACAAGCUGCCCUUUGGAGUACCCAGGACUGAUCUGUGAUUAACCCCUGGAUUUCUGAAAUGCCAGCUUUCAUCAAGGGAUGGAUUGGGACAAGGUGCGGUGUUUGGUCUGCCUGAACUUUCAGAGAUUCCUUUGUGCAGUGCAGGGGGAGGACCUCCCAAAUGCAGGGGGAAGGGGCAGUUCAGGUGCGUGGGGCAGAUUUAGGGUAGGGAAAUGAACAGAUGCUCACAAAUACUAGGGUAGCGUUCUGCUUUUCUCUUUAGUUUAAGGAGUCAUACCGUGAUUUCCGGUUGUAACCAGGCAUGGAGACAGGCCAUCCGGCAGCAGUGGUUCUGAAAUGCAAACACACAGAGCAGUUUUCCUUUCCUUCUGGCCUUCUGCACAUAUCAUGAUCCCAGGGCUGUGCCACACUGCCCAUCUCUCCACGGAGUCGCAACUUGAAUCGGAUCAAAUCUAUAUUUGCAUCAUCCACAGACAGGAACAGCCACUGAAAUGGCCCUAAUUACUUCCUAAAAUGUAUAUUAAGUAAAAACACCAAAAUCAUUAUCCUUUACACAUACAUGGAAUAAACAAAAUUUCUUAAUCUAUCGGAACUAUGAAAA
Long non-coding RNA from Varanus komodoensis (Komodo dragon), 1115 nucleotides. RefSeq lists it as uncharacterized. NCBI's taxonomy places the organism in Eukaryota, Metazoa, Chordata, Lepidosauria, Squamata, Varanidae. The record is from RefSeq and is a predicted model, not a curated record. The transcript has 2 exons.